UCAUGGCAACAAUUAUUUACACGCACAUCUUCUACUUCUUCAUCCUCAAAUACAAAUGUCAUUAGUAGGCCAAAUUCAAAGCCCCAAGCAGAAGUUCAAAGCCCACAGUUACAUGGGCAAUCAUCAUCACUGCAAGCAUUUGAUAAUCCAGUCAAUUUUGGGCUGCCAUCACCAUUUACUCUCUCUACAUAUCUGAAUAUAUCCAGUAGCAGUAGUUUAGGCUUCUCACCUCCCAUUGAACCCAUUUUUCCGUGUGUUGUUGAAGGGCCCCAUGACUUAAUGCCCG
This 286-nucleotide unclassified non-coding RNA is filed under the name Hevea brasiliensis (rubber tree). The record is from RNAcentral. Lineage: Eukaryota; Viridiplantae; Streptophyta; Magnoliopsida; Malpighiales; Euphorbiaceae.